AACGAACGCUGGCGGCAUGCCUAACACAUGCAAGUCGAACGAGACCUUCGGGUCUAGUGGCGCACGGGUGCGUAACACGUGGGAAUCUGCCCUUUGCUUCGGAAUAACAGUUAGAAAUGACUGCUAAUACCGGAUGAUGUCGAAAGACCAAAGAUUUAUCGGCAAAGGAUGAGCCCGCGUAGGAUUAGGUAGUUGGUUGGGUAAAGGCCUACCAAGCCGACGAUCCUUAGCUGGUCUGAGAGGAUGAUCAGCCACACUGGGACUGAGAAACGGCCCAGACUCCUACGGGAGGGAGCAGUGGGGAAUAUUGGAAAAUGGGCGAAAGCAUGAACCAGCAAUGCCGCGUGAGUGAUGAAGGCCUUAGAGUUGUAAAGCUCUUUUACCAGGGAAGAUAAUGACAGUACCUGGAGAGUAAGCUCCGGCUAACUCCGUG
Molecule: ribosomal RNA, 433 nt
Filed under: uncultured bacterium
Lineage: Bacteria
Description: partial 16S ribosomal RNA
Rfam family: Bacterial small subunit ribosomal RNA
Source: RNAcentral